RNAcentral lists this ribosomal RNA (492 nucleotides) under uncultured bacterium. RNAcentral's name for it is "partial 16S ribosomal RNA". It matches the Rfam family "Bacterial small subunit ribosomal RNA", at positions 30 to 507 of the family's 1533-position model. The record is from RNAcentral.
AUUGAACGCUGGCGGCAUGCUUUACACAUGCAAGUCGAACGGUAACAGGCCUUCGGGUGCUGACGAGUGGCGAACGGGUGAGUAAUGCAUCGGAACGUGCCCAGAGGUGGGGGAUAACGCAGCGAAAGCUGUGCUAAUACCGCAUGUGAUCUGAGGAUGAAAGCGGGGGACCAGGCAGCAAUGUUUGGCCUCGCGCCUUUGGAGCGGCCGAUGUCAGAUUAGGUAGUUGGUGGGGUAAAGGCCUACCAAGCCGACGAUCUGUAGCUGGUCUGAGAGGCCGACCAGCCACACUGGGACUGAGACACGGCCCAGACUCCUACGGGAGGCAGCAGUGGGGAAUUUUGGACAAUGGGCGCAAGCCUGAUCCAGCAAUGCCGCGUGCGGGAAGAAGGCCUUCGGGUUGUAAACCGCUUUUGUACGGAACGAAAAGGCUCUGGCUAAUACCUGGGGCUGAUGACGGUACCAGAAGAAUAAGCACCGGCUAACUACGUG